UAAGCUGAAGGGAUCUGCUGUGGUCUCUCUCUUCCAUUUCUAUAAAUGCCUCUGUGGGGUGAUGAGCAUCCUGCACAAAGAAAGCCAUGUGAGCCACCGUAAAGUAUCCCUUGGACGUGGGGUUUGGGAGGUCACUGCCUGGGUGGGCUUGGCAGGUAGCAGUUAACUUCGAGGAUGGCCAAGCCUUUCCUGUUCCUUGUUUGUGUUGCUCUGUUGAGGCUGGGUCUCCUGUAACCCAGGUCUGAAACAGUGUAGCAGAGGACCUCCUGGGACUCCUGAUCCUCCUUCAUCUGCCUCCUCCAUGCUGGGCUUACAGGCGUGCACCACCACACCCGGUUUAUUUGUUGCUAAGAGUGGGAGCCAAGGCUUUAUGCAUCUAGGCAUGUAUUGUAUGUACCAGCUGAGCCCCAGCCCGGCCCUCAGCAAAUUUCUCCGUGGCUAGGUGUGUCUUUCAUAAACACUGGUCCGUUACAGCCCAGCCUGUGCCUUGUUUUUUUUUAAGGAACUAAGCAUUACGAAAGACGCUGCCAGUUCUCUGUCUACAUCUCCUCUGUCCAGCCCAGUCAGCAGAUAGGCAUGUGUGAGCAGGGCCCUGCCAGGGAGUAUCAGAAAAGAAUUUCUCAGGCGAGCAAGAUGGCUCAGCAGGUAAAGGUACUCACCGCCAAGAGAGAUGACCUGAGUUCAAUGACCUCUACACACACACACACAUACAUACACACACGCACACGCUUGCACAUACACCACACAAUGUUUAAAACAAGUAUUUCUCACUACGUACCAUGACUCACUCACUGGUCAUGAAGUGCACGGGAGAGAUCGCUCUCGGAUGAGCUGUCCUUGGACUUGGAUGAUCUCAUUUUCUUCCUCCUCUAUACGCGUCUGUGUAACGAUGUGUGAUAACUACUGUUAUUUUUGGUUCUGAAACCAAGUAAAAGAGAAGAUUCCUUUCGACACCCUCCGCACCUUCCUGUCUGUCUCUUCUGUCUCUCCCUCGCUUCUCUGUAGUUUCUGACUUUGGACUGUGGAGAGCUAGCAUCGUGAUGUGACAGCAGGGGCCCUCCUGUAGGAACCCAAGAAGCGUGCCCACAAAUCUUUUUUUUUGUUGUUCUUGUUUUUACUUGUUUUUAUUUUUAUUAUCUGACUGUCUGUCUAUUUAUGGGUUUUUAAGACAGGUUUUCCCUGUGUUGCCCUGGCUGUCCUGGAACUCACUCUGUACACUAGGCUGGCCUUGAACUCAGAAAUCUGUCUGACUCUGCCCCUGAGUGUUGGGACUAAAGGUGCGCACCACCACCGCCAGCCUUAAGCUGUUUUUAUUUUUAGCUCUUGCAUCUGUUGAGCGUAUGCCUCCUGUGUGCAGGUACCCAAGUAGAGUGAGACUGCCUGACAGGGGUGCUGGGAACAGAACUCGGUCCUCUGCAAGGGCAGCAAGCACUCAUCACCACUGAGCCAUCUUGCCAGCCAUCGCCAAAUCUUAUGGGAGUGCUUCAACCCAUCUCAAGAUAUCUAGAAGAGGCGGUACCUAGUCAGUACCAUUUUUACUUUUGGGGGGCAGGGUCUCGUGUAGCUGAGAAUGACCCAAACUCCUUACAUAGCCAAGAAUGACCUUGAAGUUCUGGUCUUCCAGCCUCUGUCUCCUGAAGGUAGAGAUUACAGGUGUGCUCUACUAAGACAGGUUUAUUUAUGCAGUGCUGGAGAUGGAACCCAAGGACUCGUGCAUCAUAGACUCUGUGCAUCAGUGGACUGUCUGUGGGUCUUCUCAUGCAUGAUUGACUGUGCAUCAGUGGACCGUCUGUGGGUCUUCUCAUGCAUGAUUGACUGUGCAUCAGUGGACCGUCUGUGGGUCUUCUCAUGCAUGAUUGACUGUGCAUCAGUGGACUGUCUGUGGGUCUUCUUAUAUAUCAUAGACUCUGUCCAUCAGUGGACCAUCUGUAGGUCUUCUCAUGCACCGUAGACUCCCUCUAUCAGUGGACCAUCUGUGGGUCUUCUCAUGCACCGUAGACUCCCUCCAUCAGUGGACCGUCUGUGGGUCUUCCUGUGCUGCUGCUGCUGGAGAAUAUCGUGUGGUUUCUUUUGGUUUUAAUUAUAUUUAAUCUGUGUAUUUGGGUGCAUGCAUGGCAUGUGUGGAGGUUAAAGGACAACUUGCAAGAGUUGGUUCUCUCCUUCUACCAAGUGUGUUUCAGGGACCAAACUCAGGUCAUCAGGUUUGAUAGCAAGCACUUGUAACUGAGCCAUUCAUUCUGUGGCCUGCCUGCCUGCCUGCCUUCCUUCCUGCCUGCCUUCCUUCCUUCCUUCCUUCCUUCCUUCCUUCCUUCCUUCCUUCCUUCCUUCAUUUUCUUUUUGACACAAGGACUUAUUAUAUAGCUCAGGCUGGCCCUGAACUUGCCGUCCACAUUCCUCUGGGUCCUGCAGUUCUGUAUGCGCCACCAGGCCCAGCUGAGAGAGGACUUCUGACUUCCGUGUUUGUCCACAUGAGAAUUCUCACUGGUGUUUACUGAUUUCUGAUUUCUUCCAUGGCACAGUGUACCCAGUAGCCAUAUGUUCAGCCUCAUGAAUCUGCCACAGAGUAUUUAUCAGCACGAACUUCACACUAGCUUAAGAAAUGAGAAUGCCGGGUGUGAUGGUGUGCACCUUUAAUCCCAGCUCUCCUGUGGUUAGAUAGAAGCUCACAGGCUAGCUAGCCUGGAGAACACAGUUCAGCAGGUAUAAAGAGAGACCCUGCCUCAAAACACGUUGGGAGGAGAGAACCAAUCCACCAAAGUUGUCCUGUG
RNAcentral lists this long non-coding RNA (2768 nucleotides) under Mus musculus (house mouse). RNAcentral describes it as "long non-coding RNA chr5:143474872-143477640". The record is from RNAcentral. Lineage: Eukaryota; Metazoa; Chordata; Mammalia; Rodentia; Muridae.